RNAcentral lists this ribosomal RNA (2902 nucleotides) under Escherichia albertii. RNAcentral's name for it is "23S ribosomal RNA". It matches the Rfam family "Bacterial large subunit ribosomal RNA". Lineage: Bacteria; Pseudomonadati; Pseudomonadota; Gammaproteobacteria; Enterobacterales; Enterobacteriaceae. The record is from RNAcentral.
GGUUAAGCGACUAAGCGUACACGGUGGAUGCCCUGGCAGUCAGAGGCGAUGAAGGACGUGCUAAUCUGCGAUAAGCGUCGGUAAGGUGAUAUGAACCGUUAUAACCGGCGAUUUCCGAAUGGGGAAACCCAGUGUGUUCCGACACACUAUCAUUAACUGAAUCCAUAGGUUAAUGAGGCGAACCGGGGGAACUGAAACAUCUAAGUACCCCGAGGAAAAGAAAUCAACCGAGAUUCCCCCAGUAGCGGCGAGCGAACGGGGAGGAGCCCAGAGCCUGAAUCAGUGUGUGUGUUAGUGGAAGCGUCUGGAAAGGCGUGCGAUACAGGGUGACAGCCCCGUACACAAAAAUGCACAUGCUGUGAGCUCGAAGAGUAGGGCGGGACACGUGGUAUCCUGUCUGAAUAUGGGGGGACCAUCCUCCAAGGCUAAAUACUCCUGACUGACCGAUAGUGAACCAGUACCGUGAGGGAAAGGCGAAAAGAACCCCGGCGAGGGGAGUGAAAAAGAACCUGAAACCGUGUACGUACAAGCAGUGGGAGCCUCUUUAUGGGGUGACUGCGUACCUUUUGUAUAAUGGGUCAGCGACUUAUAUUCUGUAGCAAGGUUAACCGAAUAGGGGAGCCGGAGGGAAACCGAGUCUUAACUGGGCGUUAAGUUGCAGGGUAUAGACCCGAAACCCGGUGAUCUAGCCAUGGGCAGGUUGAAGGUUGGGUAACACUAACUGGAGGACCGAACCGACUAAUGUUGAAAAAUUAGCGGAUGACUUGUGGCUGGGGGUGAAAGGCCAAUCAAACCGGGAGAUAGCUGGUUCUCCCCGAAAGCUAUUUAGGUAGCGCCUCGUGAAUUCAUCUCCGGGGGUAGAGCACUGUUUCGGCAAGGGGGUCAUCCCGACUUACCAACCCGAUGCAAACUGCGAAUACCGGAGAAUGUUAUCACGGGAGACACACGGCGGGUGCUAACGUCCGUCGUGAAGAGGGAAACAACCCAGACCGCCAGCUAAGGUCCCAAAGUCAUGGUUAAGUGGGAAACGAUGUGGGAAGGCCCAGACAGCCAGGAUGUUGGCUUAGAAGCAGCCAUCAUUUAAAGAAAGCGUAAUAGCUCACUGGUCGAGUCGGCCUGCGCGGAAGAUGUAACGGGGCUAAACCAUGCACCGAAGCUGCGGCAGCGACACUAUGUGUUGUUGGGUAGGGGAGCGUUCUGUAAGCCUGUGAAGGUGUGCUGUGAGGCAUGCUGGAGGUAUCAGAAGUGCGAAUGCUGACAUAAGUAACGAUAAAGCGGGUGAAAAGCCCGCUCGCCGGAAGACCAAGGGUUCCUGUCCAACGUUAAUCGGGGCAGGGUGAGUCGACCCCUAAGGCGAGGCCGAAAGGCGUAGUCGAUGGGAAACAGGUUAAUAUUCCUGUACUUGGUGUUACUGCGAAGGGGGGACGGAGAAGGCUAUGUUGGCCGGGCGACGGUUGUCCCGGUUUAAGCGUGUAGGCUGGUUUUCCAGGCAAAUCCGGAGAAUCAAGGCUGAGGCGUGAUGACGAGGCACUACGGUGCUGAAGCAACAAAUGCCCUGCUUCCAGGAAAAGCCUCUAAGCAUCAGGUAACAUCAAAUCGUACCCCAAACCGACACAGGUGGUCAGGUAGAGAAUACCAAGGCGCUUGAGAGAACUCGGGUGAAGGAACUAGGCAAAAUGGUGCCGUAACUUCGGGAGAAGGCACGCUGAUAUGUAGGUGAAGCGACUUGCUCGUGGAGCUGAAAUCAGUCGAAGAUACCAGCUGGCUGCAACUGUUUAUUAAAAACACAGCACUGUGCAAACACGAAAGUGGACGUAUACGGUGUGACGCCUGCCCGGUGCCGGAAGGUUAAUUGAUGGGGUCAGCGCAAGCGAAGCUCUUGAUCGAAGCCCCGGUAAACGGCGGCCGUAACUAUAACGGUCCUAAGGUAGCGAAAUUCCUUGUCGGGUAAGUUCCGACCUGCACGAAUGGCGUAAUGAUGGCCAGGCUGUCUCCACCCGAGACUCAGUGAAAUUGAACUCGCUGUGAAGAUGCAGUGUACCCGCGGCAAGACGGAAAGACCCCGUGAACCUUUACUAUAGCUUGACACUGAACACUGGUCCUUGAUGUGUAGGAUAGGUGGGAGGCUUUGAAGUGUGGACGCCAGUCUGCAUGGAGCCGUCCUUGAAAUACCACCCUUUAAUGGCUGGUGUUCUAACGUUGGCCCCUUAUCGGGGUUGCGGACAGUGUCUGGUGGGUAGUUUGACUGGGGCGGUCUCCUCCUAAAGAGUAACGGAGGAGCACGAAGGUUGGCUAAUCCUGGUCGGACAUCAGGAGGUUAGUGCAAUGGCAUAAGCCAGCUUGACUGCGAGCGUGACGGCGCGAGCAGGUGCGAAAGCAGGUCAUAGUGAUCCGGUGGUUCUGAAUGGAAGGGCCAUCGCUCAACGGAUAAAAGGUACUCCGGGGAUAACAGGCUGAUACCGCCCAAGAGUUCAUAUCGACGGCGGUGUUUGGCACCUCGAUGUCGGCUCAUCACAUCCUGGGGCUGAAGUAGGUCCCAAGGGUAUGGCUGUUCGCCAUUUAAAGUGGUACGCGAGCUGGGUUUAGAACGUCGUGAGACAGUUCGGUCCCUAUCUGCCGUGGGCGCUGGAGAACUGAGGGGGGCUGCUCCUAGUACGAGAGGACCGGAGUGGACGCAUCACUGGUGUUCGGGUUGUCAUGCCAAUGGCACUGCCCGGUAGCUAAAUACGGAAGAGAUAAGUGCUGAAAGCAUCUAAGCACGAAACUUGCCCCGAGAUGAGUUCUCCCUGAGACUUAGAGUCUCCUGAAGGAACGUUGAAGACGACGACGUUGAUAGGCCGGGUGUGUAAGCGCAGCGAUGCGUUGAGCUAACCGGUACUAAUGAACCGUGAGGCUUAACCUU